CCACAAUCUUAAAAUCGUUUCAUCUUAGAAAAUGCUCUACAAGUAUUUCUUUGGUGGUUGUUUUUUAACCUAUAAAAGAUAAUGGAAUACAUUUUAUAGACUGGAUUUUAUCUGUUCCCUUGGCCUCUCCUGGCUGUACUCAGUUUAAUAGUCGUCAGUUUUUCUCCGUGUUGGAUUUAAUUAUGUAGGUCCAAACUAUUCCCCCCCAGUAGGUUAGCUUGCUAAAUAUUCUGUCACUUUUGCGAUCCCAUCGCUAGAAAUAGCUUAAUUUAAAAAAUCUGCCA
Non-coding RNA from Echinops telfairi (small Madagascar hedgehog), 284 nucleotides. Lineage: Eukaryota; Metazoa; Chordata; Mammalia; Afrosoricida; Tenrecidae. The record is from Rfam.